Molecule: signal recognition particle RNA, 255 nt
Filed under: Candidatus Blautia excrementipullorum
Lineage: Bacteria; Bacillati; Bacillota; Clostridia; Lachnospirales; Lachnospiraceae
Description: signal recognition particle sRNA large type
Rfam family: Bacterial large signal recognition particle RNA
About the family: The signal recognition particle (SRP) is a universally conserved ribonucleoprotein involved in the co-translational targeting of proteins to membranes.
Source: RNAcentral
CCGCGCAGCCGGGGAGUUAGCGGUGCCCUGUACCUGCAAUCCGCUACAGCAGGGGUGAUGCCAAUCCGAGGACUGUAUUCUGCAGAGCUGCCCUUUAUAAGUGGCGUUGACGUCCGGGUCUCGCGCAACAGGAAUCUGUGAACCGUGUCAGGGCAGGAAUGCAGCAGCACUAAGCAGACGCUCCUGUGUGCCGCGAGGGCGCCUGGGCCGAGUUAACUGUAAAGGUAACGUCUGUGGAAGCAUUUCGAAGUGCGG